UACGUAGGCGGGAUAAUAAGUCAGUGGUGAAAUCCCACAGCUCAACUGUGGAACUGCCUUUGAUACUGGUUGUCUUGAGUUACAGUGAAGUAGAUAGAAUAUGUAGUGUAGCGGUGAAAUGCAUAGAUAUUACAUAGAAUACCGAUUGCGAAGGCAGUCUACUAACUGUAUACUGACGCUAAUGGACGAAAGCGUGGGGAGCGAACAGGAUUAGAUACCCUGGUAGUCC
This 229-nucleotide ribosomal RNA is filed under the name uncultured bacterium. Its description in RNAcentral is "partial 16S ribosomal RNA". It matches the Rfam family "Bacterial small subunit ribosomal RNA", at positions 568 to 796 of the family's 1533-position model. The record is from RNAcentral.